This 253-nucleotide ribosomal RNA is filed under the name uncultured bacterium. Its description in RNAcentral is "partial 16S ribosomal RNA". It matches the Rfam family "Bacterial small subunit ribosomal RNA", at positions 524 to 776 of the family's 1533-position model. The record is from RNAcentral.
UGCGGAGGGGGCUAGCGUUGUUCGGAAUUACUGGGCGUAAAGCGCACGUAGGCGGCUUUGUAAGUUAGAGGUGAAAGCCCGGGGCUCAACUCCGGAAUUGCCUUUAAGACUGCAUCGCUAGAAUUGUGGAGAGGUAAGUGGAAUUCCGAGUGUAGAGGUGAAAUUCGUAGAUAUUCGGAAGAACACCAGUGGCGAAGGCGACUUACUGGACACAUAUUGACGCUGAGGUGCGAAAGCGUGGGGAGCAAACAGG